GAUGAACGCUGGCGGCGUGCCUAAUACAUGCAAGUCGAGCGAACAGAUGUGGAGCUUGCUCCUCUGACGUUAGCGGCGGACGGGUGAGUAACACGUGGAUAACCUACCUAUAAGACUGGGAUAACUUCGGGAAACCGGAGCUAAUACCGGAUAAUAUAUUGAACCGCAUGGUUCAAUAGUGAAAGACGGUUUUGCUGUCACUUAUAGAUGGAUCCGCGCCGCAUUAGCUAGUUGGUAAGGUAACGGCUUACCAAGGCAACGAUGCGUAGCCGACCUGAGAGGGAGAUGCGACACUCUGGAACAGACACGCGGCAGAGACCCAUGCGGGAGAGAGGAAUGGAAUCUUCCGCAAUGGGCGAAAGCCUGACGGAGCAACGCCGCGUGAGUGAUGAAGGUCUUCGGAUCGUAAAACUCUGUUAUUAGGGAAGAACAAAUGUGUAAGUAACUAUGCACGUCUUGACGGUACCUAAUCAGAAAGCCACGGCUAACUACGUG
RNAcentral lists this ribosomal RNA (495 nucleotides) under uncultured bacterium. RNAcentral describes it as "partial 16S ribosomal RNA". It matches the Rfam family "Bacterial small subunit ribosomal RNA", at positions 28 to 507 of the family's 1533-position model. The record is from RNAcentral.